Molecule: non-coding RNA, 70 nt
Organism: Dipodomys ordii (Ord's kangaroo rat)
Lineage: Eukaryota; Metazoa; Chordata; Mammalia; Rodentia; Heteromyidae
Source: Rfam
GGGACUGUUGCUUAGUAGUAGAGUGCUUGCCUUACAUGCAUGAAGCUCUGGGUUUGAUUCCUUAGUACCA